AGAAGGAACUUGCUCCUUGGGUGGCGAGUGGCGGACGGGUGAGUAAUGCAUCGGGAUCUACCCUGACGUGGGGGAUAACCUCGGGAAACCGGGACUAAUACCGCAUACGUCCUACGGGAGAAAGCGGGGGACCUUUUAGGCCUCGCGCGGCAGGACGAACCGAUGUGCGAUUAGCUAGUUGGCGGGGUAAUGGCCCACCAAGGCGACGAUCGCUAGCUGGUCUGAGAGGAUGAUCAGCCACACUGGGACUGAGACACGGCCCAGACUCCUACGGGAGGCAGCAGUGGGGAAUAUUGGACAAUGGGCGCAAGCCUGAUCCAGCAAUGCCGCGUGUGUGAAGAAGGCCUUCGGGUUGUAAAGCACUUUUAUCAGGAGCGAAAUCUGCAUGCUUAAUACGUGUGCAGUCUGACGGUACCUGAGGAAUAAGCACCGGCUAACUUCGUGCCAGCAGCCGCGGUAAUACGAAGGGUGCAAGCGUUAAUCGGAAUUACUGGGCGUAAAGGGUGCGUAGGCGGUUCGUUAAGUCUGUCGUGAAAUCCCCGGGCUCAACCUGGGAAUGGCGAUGGAUACUGGCGAGCUAGAGUGUGUCAGAGGAUGGUGGAAUUCCCGGUGUAGCGGUGAAAUGCGUAGAGAUCGGGAGGAACAUCAGUGGCGAAGGUGGCCAUCUGGAACAA
This 674-nucleotide ribosomal RNA is filed under the name Rhodanobacter lindaniclasticus. RNAcentral's name for it is "bacterial SSU rRNA". It matches the Rfam family "Bacterial small subunit ribosomal RNA", at positions 71 to 737 of the family's 1533-position model. The record is from RNAcentral. Lineage: Bacteria; Pseudomonadati; Pseudomonadota; Gammaproteobacteria; Lysobacterales; Rhodanobacteraceae.